This 492-nucleotide ribosomal RNA is filed under the name uncultured bacterium. RNAcentral's name for it is "partial 16S ribosomal RNA". It matches the Rfam family "Bacterial small subunit ribosomal RNA", at positions 30 to 507 of the family's 1533-position model. The record is from RNAcentral.
AGUGAACGCUGGCGGUAGGCCUAACACAUGCAAGUCGAACGGCAGCACAGUAAGAGCUUGCUCUUACGGGUGGCGAGUGGCGGACGGGUGAGGAAUACAUCGGAAUCUACUUUUUCGUGGGGGAUAACGUAGGGAAACUUACGCUAAUACCGCAUACGACCUACGGGUGAAAGCAGGGGAUCUUCGGACCUUGCGCGAUUGAAUGAGCCGAUGUCGGAUUAGCUAGUUGGCGGGGUAAAGGCCCACCAAGGCGACGAUCCGUAGCUGGUCUGAGAGGAUGAGGAGCCAGACUGUAGUUGAGGCACGGACCAGGCGCCUACGGGAGGCGGCAGUGGGGUGGAUUGGAGAAUGGUGGCAGGCCUUAGGCAGAGUUACCGGGGAGGUCAAGGAGGCCUUCUACUCCGAGAGCACUUUUCUUGUGAAAGAAAAGCAGCCGGCGACUAAAAUGAUGUGCGGAGGGUACCCAAAGAGUGAGCUCCGGCUAAUUACGUG